Molecule: long non-coding RNA, 872 nt
Filed under: Numida meleagris (helmeted guineafowl)
Lineage: Eukaryota; Metazoa; Chordata; Aves; Galliformes; Numididae
Description: lncRNA (ENSNMEG00000012729.1)
Source: RNAcentral
GCUAUUGCAUCUUAACAGGGAAGACAGGCUGAUGUGGAGGGCAGGUUGGACAUUAGAGGAAAGAAGAAGAGACCAUGCAGACUGCCUCAAGAGAGGCUGCUGGUUUUGAGGCCAGACAGGAGGGUCAUGAAACAGCUGUAGGAUGGCUCCACUCCACGGCUUCAGGAAGGAGGCAAGACAAGAUGAAAACAAGCAGUUCCAUCUCCAGGAAAAUCAGCUUUGUCUCAGACUACUGGUAAACAGGCAUCCCCUUGAGAAGGUUCUGCUGUAAGACACCCCGGCUUUAAUCUCCAAGGUUGCAGAGUGUCAACAUUACAAGGUUUGUGACCCACAACUCCCCUGAAGUUACUGGUUUCCCAAUUGUUGCUCAACCCUUGUCACAUAGGCCUAGCUAUGUUCUGUUACCCAGUCCCUCAUAGCAACAGGCUGCCUAGCAGUUUCUGGAACAACAUAACAUUCCAUAUAUCAGACUUGCAAGCUCUUCCAGUGAGCAUAAAGUGAGCAUAAGUGUUGUACCUUAACUUUCAUCGCUCUCUCAACAUAGUCUAUUACUAAGAUUUGUAAAUUUAUUUUCCUAUUCUGGUCCCACCACCUACUUUUCCUUCAUCUGCAUAUGAAGAUGCUUUGAAAUAUAUUCAAUUUUUUUCUUACCGCUAGAACGUGAAGUUCUUGUUGCUUUUUUUUUUGUUUUAUUACUUGCUCAAAUAUUGUUGUUUUAUUUUUCUUAAUUCUAAGUAUUCCUGUUGUUAUUACUUUUUCAAAAUGUCUAAAACAUUUGCUAAUUAUAUCUCUUUUCAUCAUAGAUUCAUUCUCCGUUUUUUUUUUUUUUAGACAACUCACAGGACGUUUUUUCUGUCACUACUCUAGGCAAC